AAACUAUCUCAUCGAUAGUUAGGUAAAAGUUAUCAGUCGUCUCUGUUAAGCUAUCAAUACGGUAAAACAAUCAUUUUCCCCAGUGAAACUAUAUUCCCCUAGUGGAGUCAGAUCCCUUUCUCAAAGAAUUUGGGUAUCCGUUGCGAUUUCUCAUUUAAGUCAAGUCAUCUUUGUCGUCCUGCAUUCAUAAAUUGCAUCACAUGCAUUCAUAGCAUCUUAGGUCAAAAAUUGUGUACUUUGUAUUUAAGUCUCUUCGACUCGUCAAAUCAAAGAUUUUAUCUUCAAAUUUCCGGACGAAAAAACUUAAAUAGGGGCAUGUGUCAUACCCCAAUUUUUUACCUAAGGUCCCACUGACACGUGUCGCUUAACCCUGAUCAAUCUCUGACGUUUUAGUAAAAAUUCGGCAGGGAGGUAUUUUAAAAUACCUCAUUUGAUUCCGAGUGGGGCCCUCUUCUCUCAAUCUUCAAUCAUUUUAUUUCCAUCUUUUAUUUUUAAAUUAAUCCUAAUUUUUAUUUUAAUAAAUCAAUAUUUCUUUUAAUUCAAAUUACUUCUUUUUUAGAUAAGUCCAAAAGUCAAAUCUGCACUUAAUUUAUUUUUAUUUUUAUUUUCUCAUUUAUUAUUUUAUUCAUUUGUUACUAUCCGAAAAAAUCAAAAAAAGGUCCCAAUCCAAAUCCGGUCACACGCGUGUGCUUCAACUCAUCUCAAUCCAAAUCCAGCGCAACGCAUUCCAAUCUAACAACAGCUAACACGCCCCUCUCAUCUCAAAUCAAGCACAAGUUUCUGCUCAUCUCAACAAACCCUCAACCCAGCACUAUAAAUAACAACCUGCACAACACAGAAAAGAAAACGCAACACAGCAGAAUCGCACAACACCACACAGGAAACACACAGAAAAAGCCAGAGCACACAAAGAAGCAAAACCAGCAAGGAACAACAUCAACUCGAAACUGCACUUCCAGAACCAGUCACAACACGAAAUCGCAAGCCAGCACCAUAACAGAACCGGAUCCGCGAAAGAAACAAAGAGGUAGUAUUUUCUUUACCUUUAGAUCUAGGCCUCUGUGUGUACGUGUUUGAAAAUCUAGGUUUAGAACUGAAUAGAGGGGAGAGAGUCGAGUGAAAACAGCAAAAAAAAAUAGAGUUUUUUAGCUCCGGUGCGGCGCCGCCGCCGCGAUGGCUCGCCGGCCACCGCACCGGAGUCUGCUCCAACCACCCUUCUCGCCGGAGAAGAAGUUUGAGAGAGAAGAGAGAAUUUUGAGGUGAAGAGAGAGAAAUGUUUGUAAAAAUGAGUUAAAAAAACCGGUUACCACAUAUAUAUAGUACCCUAAACCGGUUCGGUUCUCCUGAACCGAUUCAGGCUUGAACCAAACCGGUUUAAGCCCACUAAGCGCGCCCAAGCCUCUCCAUGAAGCCCAAUUCUUUUUUUUUUAUUUCCUGCACCCCCCUGCUUACUACCUGCACCCCCAUCAUCUUUCUUUUUACCAUUUUCAUGCGUUUUUAAAUUUCCCUUGCAUUUAUUUUUUCUUUAGCAUUUUUAUUUCUUUUAUCUUAUUAUUUAUCAGCAUUCACAUAUUUAUUUUAUAUCUUUUAUUUACUUGCAUUGAUUUAGAAUGUACAAUAGGCAUUGAUGUAAAUAAUUUAUUUAUUUCUUCUUGUCAUUUAUUUUCUGCAGACCUUAGAAUGUAAAUAGGCUUUUAUGUAAUAGUGUAGGUGCAUGUGUGUGUAUGCCUCUUAUCUGCUUUGUAGUUUAGGUCAAAGGUCCUUGUGGUGGUCCAAUACCCCAUGAGGUACCUACGUUUUUUAUUUUUAUGCUCCGUUAGUUUAAUUUUUUAGUCCAAUUAUUCAAAAACAACAAAAACAUGCAAAUAACAAAAAUCACAAAAAUAUUUUCAUAAACAAACCUUGAUCCUAAAUCAAGUGAUCGUCUCUUUUUAUUUUUAUUUCUUUAAUCAAAUUUCAAUCAACUUUAAUUCAACUUUAAGUCAUUUUCUUUAAUAUAAAAAACACAAACAAAUUCUUAUUUGCCACUUGGCUUUUCAUUUUAAAACCUUUUUCAAAAUUAAUAAAAAAACACUCAACAAAUCAAACGUCGUUUUCUACCCCGAACUACGAGGUUUUGAUCCCUCACGGGUACGUAGGCAGAGGACCAUGUCCUUCCAAAUCAAUAAAAAAUGUAGAUAAUUAGGUCUUUAUUUUUCCACUUUAAUUCCUUCUUUUCAAAAAUAAGCAAGCAAGUUAUAGCACAUUAAUUAAAUAAAAUCAAGAGGUUCCCGUAGAGUACUACGGACAUAAGGGGUGCUAAUACCUUCCCUUUAUGUAACUAACCCCCGAACCCAAAAUCUUUUCAAAAUGGGGUAGUUUGAACUUUUUUUCCCCUCUUUCUUAAAAAAAAAUAUAAAUGUUCAGUCGUGAAAUAAAUUAGCGAGUCAAAAGCUAAUCAAAUAGCCUUGAUCUCCGAAAAAUGACGCGACAACGUGCAUUGAAGUCAAAGAAUUUGACUCCUAGAUUUAUUGGUCCGUAUCAGAUAUCGGAAAGAGUUGGAACAGUGGCGUACUGAGUGGGUUUACCACCGCAUCUUUCGAAUUUGCACGAUGUGUUUCAUGUGUCACAACUUCGGAAGUAUGUUCCGGAUCCAUCUCAUGUGAUCCAAAGUGAUGAUGUGCAAGUUAGAGAUAGCCUUACGGUUGGGACGUUACCGGUGAGGAUUGAUGAUCGAAAAGUGAAGACGUUGAGAGGCAAAGAGAUACCUCUUGUGAGAGUCGUUUGGGAAGGAGCGACUGGUGAAAGCUUAACGUGGGAGCUAGAGAGUAAGAUGCUAGAAUCUUAUCCAGAGUUGUUUGCAUGAGGUAAAUUUCCGAGGACGAAAAUCUUAUAAGUUGGGGAGAGUUGUAACGCCCUCUUUGAAUGAUUUAAUUAUUUAAUUGAAUCUAGAAUUUACUAAGAUGAGUUUAUAUUAUAUUUAUAUGAUAUAUGUGUGAUUUAAGAGAUUUAUGUGAUUGAGGUGAUUUUUAUGUGAUUUUAUGAGGAAUUGUGACUUAUUUUAUUGUUUAAUAAAAUAAGAUUUGAAAAUAAAAUAAAUAUUGAGUUUAGGGGUUGUUUUGAGAUUUUAGAGAGUUUUGGGGGAGAAAAAGGAAUAAGAUAAAGUAGAUGGAAGAGAUAUAAAUAAGAUGAUGAUGUUCCAAAUUAUUAGAUAUAUAUAAGAGGUUGUUGUUAUAAAAAGUUAAGUUGUUGUGUCCAUGCAUUAGCAUUCAUUGUUGGGGGCUUGAUGCCCUGGAGCCUUUGCUCACCACGUUGGGGGCUUGAUGCCCUAGAGCUUUAGCUCAACUAAGUUGAGGGCUUGAUGCCCUGAAAGUAUAUCAAUACUUAUUACGUUGAGGGUUUGAUGCCCUGGAUUGGUACCACAUGCAUAUAAGAGGUCUAAGUUGCGUAGUCGAGUUGGAGUUGCAUUUGUCGAGUCAAAGUUAUAUAAGUUGCCAAGUUGUUUAAGUUGUGAUUCUUUAUAUGAAUUAUUAAAGAAGUGAUAUAUGAUAUAUUAUUAUCUAUGAUGAAUAUUAUGAUGUUUUCAUGUUGUUAAAUAUAAUUGUUGAAUUAUAUGUUUAAUAUUACUGUUUUGUGAAAUCUCACCCCUUCUGCUUGGAAUUGUUGUUCUUGGUAUGAAUAACUUGUAGGUGAUCGAGAGUAGUUGCUGUUACUUUGCUGUCUUGAGUGGUUAUUCCUCACGGAGUCUUUUAGGUGAUCUGAUACGUAACAGGAUGGGAUCUUUUGUGGCUAUUUCUUAUUCCUUUACAUAUUUGUUUUAUGAAUUUAAAUGAUUAAGUUGUUUAACUGAUUUAUGAGAUGUUUUGAUGAGGCCUGCGUGCCAAGACUUAUUUAUGAUGAUGAACUUUAAAUCCGCU
RNAcentral lists this long non-coding RNA (3896 nucleotides) under Medicago truncatula (barrel medic). RNAcentral's name for it is "long non-coding RNA (MTRU_LNC001704)". The record is from RNAcentral. Lineage: Eukaryota; Viridiplantae; Streptophyta; Magnoliopsida; Fabales; Fabaceae.